UACGGGGGGGGGCAAGCGUUGUUCGGAAUUACUGGGCGUAAAGGGCUCGUAGGCGGCCAACUAAGUCGGAUGUGAAAUCCCCAGGCUCAACCUGGGAACUGCAUCCGAUACUGGAUGGCUUGAAUCCGGGAGAGGGAUGCAGAAUUCCAGGUGUAGCGGUGAAAUGCGUAGAUAUCUGGAGGAAUACCGGUGGCGAAGGCGGCAUCCUGGACCGGCAUUGACGCUGAUGAGCGAAAGCUAGGGGAGCAAACGGG
RNAcentral lists this ribosomal RNA (254 nucleotides) under uncultured bacterium. RNAcentral's name for it is "partial 16S ribosomal RNA". It matches the Rfam family "Bacterial small subunit ribosomal RNA", at positions 524 to 776 of the family's 1533-position model. The record is from RNAcentral.